GACGUAGGGCGCGAGCGUUGUCCGGAUUUAUUGGGCGUAAAGAGCUUGUAGGCGGUUUGUCGCGUCUGCCGUGAAAAUUCGAGGCUCAACCUCGAACUUGCGGUGGGUACGGGCAGACUAGAGUGUGGUAGGGGGAGACUGGAAUUCCCGGUGUAGCGGUGGAAUGCGCAGAUAUCAGGAGGAACACUGAUGGCGAAGGCAGGUCACUGGGCCGCAACUGACGCUGAGGAGCGAAAGCAUGGGGAGCGAGCAGG
Molecule: ribosomal RNA, 254 nt
Filed under: uncultured bacterium
Lineage: Bacteria
Description: partial 16S ribosomal RNA
Rfam family: Bacterial small subunit ribosomal RNA
Source: RNAcentral